RNAcentral lists this transfer RNA (82 nucleotides) under Exophiala xenobiotica. Its description in RNAcentral is "tRNA-Arg". It matches the Rfam family "tRNA". Rfam says of the family: Transfer RNA (tRNA) molecules are approximately 80 nucleotides in length. Their secondary structure includes four short double-helical elements and three loops (D, anti-codon, and T loops). Lineage: Eukaryota; Fungi; Ascomycota; Eurotiomycetes; Chaetothyriales; Herpotrichiellaceae. The record is from RNAcentral.
GGCCGCGUGGCCUAAUGGUUAAGGCGCCAGUUUUCGGCUGAGUAAUCACUGGAGAUUAGGAGUUCGAAUCUUCUCGUGGUUA